Molecule: non-coding RNA, 84 nt
Organism: Callorhinus ursinus (northern fur seal)
Lineage: Eukaryota; Metazoa; Chordata; Mammalia; Carnivora; Otariidae
Source: RefSeq, a predicted model, not a curated record
ACCAAACAAAAAAAGCUUCAGACCACAGCACUUAUAAUCACUCAGAUUCAUAAAUUAAGUAGUUGCAAGUACUUGUCUAGGGAG